GAUAAGAACGCAGCGAAAUGCGAUACGUAAUGUGAAUUGCAGAAUUCAGUGAAUCAUCGAAUCUUUGAACGCAUAUUGCGCUCUCUGGUAUUCCGGAGAGCAUGCUUGUUUGAGUAUCAGUAAACACCUCAACUUCCAUAUCUUUUUUGAAAUGGGAGUUGGACUUGAGUGAUCCCAACGCUUUUCCUCACCGAAAAGUGGCGGGUUACUUGAAAUGCAGGUGCAGCUGGACUUUUCUCUGAGCUAUAAGCAUAUCUAUUUAGUCUGCCUAAAAAACAGAUUAUUACCUUUGCUGCAGCUAACAUAAAGGAGAUUAGUUCUUGUGCUGACUGAUGCAGGAUUCACAAAGACAGGCUUCGGCCGACUUUGUAAACUCGAUCUCAAAUCAAGUAAGACUACCCGCUGAACUUAAGCAUAUCAAUAAGCGGAGGA
Molecule: unclassified non-coding RNA, 432 nt
Filed under: soil metagenome
Description: partial contains 5.8S ribosomal RNA, internal transcribed spacer 2, and large subunit ribosomal RNA
Rfam family: 5.8S ribosomal RNA (bases 4-119)
Source: RNAcentral